ACAAGGGGCCAAAGUUGUUGUUUAACCGCUCGUGCUAAUAUUGAUACCCGAGCAAGCGAAAAAUUCCAAAAUUGAACCACAAGCGGCCAUUACGAGGGUUUCAAGGCACGAGGGUUAAAUAAAUUUUGCCUCCGAGUGAAACACUAAAUUUUUCACCACACCAACGCGGGGAAAAUACUAACUAUGAAAUACCAAAAA
Cydia strobilella is the source of this 198-nucleotide long non-coding RNA. RefSeq lists it as uncharacterized. The record is from RefSeq and is a predicted model, not a curated record. Lineage: Eukaryota; Metazoa; Arthropoda; Insecta; Lepidoptera; Tortricidae. The transcript is spliced from 2 exons.